AGAGGACAAAGAACUAAUGUCUGCAGGAAUAUUAAUAGGGACCCAAGUGGUGAGGCAGAUAGACACUAGGAGACCAGAGACUGGAGGUUGCUAAAAGCAGCUUCUGAGUUGGUUUCCUGUUCUUGGCAAACAAUUCCUCAAUUCCAGAGGGAAUCUUUAAUCAUGAAACUAAUUACUAUCCUGCUCCUCUGCUCCAGGCUCCUGCCAAGUUUAGCGCAGGAAGAAGGCGCCCAGGAAAUGGACUGCAAUGAUGAGACUGUAUUUCAGGCUGUGGAUAUUGCUCUCAAGAAGUGUAACGCUGGGUUACAAAGUGGCAGUUUGUGUUGUACUGAGUGACUGAGGGCACUAAGAAGGCCACUGGAGAAUGAACAGAAACUGUGGAGAAGAGUGGAAAUAAUAAAUUCUCUAUAGCCACAUAGACCUACAAUGGUUACUCUGGAUGGGUGAUACAUCUGGGGACCUGUCCUGUGGGUGACAGUGGGUAGGAGCCUGACAGGAGCCUAGCAUAACUGUCCUCUGAGGGGCUCCACCCAGUGGCGAAUGGAAAGAGACCCAGAGACCCACAGCCAAACAUUGGACGAAGCUCAGGGAGUCAUGUGGACGAGUUGGGGGAAGAAUUGAGGGAUCAGAAGACAAGGACUCCACAGAAAGACCUACAGAGUCAACUAACAUGAACCCUUGGAGGCUCCCAGAGACUGAACCACCAACCAGGAAGCAAGCAUGGGCUGGACCGAGGGCAGGGCUUAUAACAGAUUUAUAGCUUGGUCUUCAUGGCAGUAACCCAUCAACUGGAGGAUGGGCUUUCCCUGAAACCUGUUGUUUGGCUGUUGAUUCCAUCCCCCUAACUGGGCUGCCUUGUCUGGCCUCAUUGGGAGAGGAUGCCUAGUCCUGCAGUAACUUGAGUUUCAGGGGAGAGGGGGUGAUUUCAGGGGAUCCCCCUUGUCAGGGGAGAAGGGGAUGGGAGAGGGAAAUGGCGGGAAGGAUCUGUGUGAGGUGGUAUUGGAGGAGAGUGACAGUUGAUAUUGGGAUGUAAGGUGAAUAACGAAAUUAAUGAAAAAGAGACCUAAACAGACCUAAACAGAAGAAAAAAAACAAGUGAACAAGAAUAACUAUUCUAGAGAUUUAAAAAAAUUGUUUUAAAUUUAUAAUGAAGUUGUGGAGCUAAGUAAAAAAUGUUUAAGGAGGUACUAGUCUUAAUAGAAAGACAUGUAAACAAUUCUGCAGUAACUCCUUAAGCCACAAUGACAUAUGACAUGAUGACAUUGAACUUAUAGAAUGUAAAAGUGCUUAGAAAACCAUGUAAUCAAUUAUCCUGCUAUAAUGAGUCUACCUGAUAAUUAUAUGACUUAAAUUUUUUCUGAAAAAGUACAAAAAUUAAGAGCAAAAAUAAAGUGACAGUGUAGCAUUUUCUGGGUCAUCCAGUGUGCGUGUGUCUGUGUGUGUGCCUUUCUUUCCUCCUUUUUCCUUUUUCUUUGGUUCACCUGGCCUAACAAGCUCCUCUUGCUUGGCCAGCAAGAGGUUCCUGAGUCAAUAGUAAAGAGCCUAAGUAACUAAGUUCCUUUUCUUAAUCCCCAGCUGCUCUCUCAGGAGAUCAUUGCCAGAAGCCAUCAGCUUUUAGCCCCAGAACAGCAAAAGAGAGUUAAACAGUGAGAAGUCAUCCAUUCCCCCAUAAUCCCUGAGCUCUGUUGACUUUUUAUUAAGGGAUAUUGGCUUUUGCUCUGUGUUGGGUUAGGAUGAGAGAACCAGAGGGAGUUGGACUGAGGGCUCUAUCUAUGGAGGGAGCAGGUGUUAUAGGUGGGUCCCAGAAUGUGGGGUCUGAGUGCUCAAGGAAAGUGGGGGAUUUUUUUUGUAUGUGUGUGUGUGUGUGUGUGUGUGUGUGUGUAGAGAAUAGUUGCUUAACUUAGGUUCUCAGAAUGUACACAGGUGUGUGUGUGUGUGUGUGUGUUUUUGUGUGUAUGCAGGUGUGUGUUUACAGGUAUAUGUGUGUAUAUGUAUGUGUAUGCAGUUGCGUGUUUAGCAAGUGUGUGUGUGUGUAUAUGCAGGUGUGUGUGUGUGUGUUUACAGGUAUAUGUGUGUGUAUACAUGGGUGUGUAUACAGGUGUAUGUAUGCAGGUCUGUGUGUAUGUGUGUGUAGGCAGGUGUGUGUUUUUGGAGGUAUGUGUGUGUGUCUGUGUGUAUGCAGGUGUGUGUGUUUGCAGGUAUAUGUGUAUAUGUGUGUGUAUGCAAGUGUGUGUGUGUAUGCAAGUGUGUGUGUAUGCAGGUGUGUGUGUUUGCAGGUAUAUGUGUGUAUAUGUGUGUGUAUGCAGUGGUGUGUAUGUGUGUGUGUGUAUGCAGGUGUGUAUGUACACAGCUGUGUAUUACUGUGUAUGUACUUGUGUGUGUGUGUGUGUGUGUGUGUGUGAGCACACACACCAAUUUCAUAGACAGGUUUCUCUGUGUAGCCCCAACUGUACUAUACCUCGCCCUUUAGGCCAUGGUAGAUUUGAACUCAGAGAACUAACUCCCCCUAUCUCCCAAGAGCUGGGAUUGAGGGCCAGCACCAUCGUUCCUGGCUUUUUGUUUUAUUGACAGUCAUUCUUUAUAUAUCCCAAGCUGUGCUUGGACUCUUGAAUCCAUGAUACCACCCAGGCUAGCCUCAAACUCUCAGCAAUCCUCCGGUCUCAGUCUCCCCAGUACUGGGAUAACAAGUAUAUGCCACCCUGUUCACUGGGUGCUUUGUGAUAAUAAGAUGUUGGCAGACACCGUGUUGACAUAGAUUAUUUUCUAGUUGGGUAAUUACACAGAUUUAGGAACACUGAUAAGCAAGUCUAACUAUCCUCGCCUUGGCUCAGUGAACAUGAGAGGGGAACAGAGAGUGAGCUCUUAGAUCCUGCAGAAGUGAGAAUCUCCUGUGGCACCUGUGCGAUCUAUGAGGUAAGGACGU
Long non-coding RNA from Rattus norvegicus (Norway rat), 2923 nucleotides. RefSeq lists it as uncharacterized. NCBI's taxonomy places the organism in Eukaryota, Metazoa, Chordata, Mammalia, Rodentia, Muridae. The record is from RefSeq and is a predicted model, not a curated record.